This 72-nucleotide transfer RNA is filed under the name Salmo salar (Atlantic salmon). It matches the Rfam family "tRNA". From Rfam's summary of the family: Transfer RNA (tRNA) molecules are approximately 80 nucleotides in length. Their secondary structure includes four short double-helical elements and three loops (D, anti-codon, and T loops). The record is from Rfam by way of RNAcentral. Lineage: Eukaryota; Metazoa; Chordata; Actinopteri; Salmoniformes; Salmonidae.
CUCCCUGAGGCUCAGUUGGUAGAGCAUGGUGUGUGCAAUGCCAGGGUUGUGGGUUCAAUUCCCACAGGGGGC